AUUUGCUGCUCUGCUGGACCCUGAGUCUGGCGGCGGGCGGCCUCCUCUCCGCUCCCCGCCCGCCAUCCCCCAACUCCCGAUCUCUCUGCUGCGUCUGGCCUCAGGCUGAGACCCCAACGAAUCAUUCCCCGCAUGGGAACAUUUUAUGAUAUAACUGAAUUCAGUUUUAUGUAUAACUGAAUUACGGAUAUGAGAAUCUCAAAUGAGGACGAAUGGUUUUUACGCACAAAACAUGAGACACAAAUCUGUAAGAAAUAUAAAGUCGUGACCACGUCCUUUCAGAACUUUAACCUGUUUGCUGAAGUACGUCAGUAACAAUGGCAGGGAAAGGGUAUCUUAAAUUUCACCACAGCCUCAAAGAGGCCAUUUCGUGGAUCCGCUGAGGCUUGGAGUCGGCCUUCUGACCACGAGUCCUGCGGCUAUGAAAGAGGAAGCCGCGGUUCAGGGCGUCCUCGCGAGUCGUGCAGCCCGCCCUGCUCCAGCUGGGGACACCGGUGGUCACGGCGCUUUCCAGCUGCAGAUCCAGGCGGCAGCCCAAGAUUUGGUCCAGCCGCCAAGGGGUGGCUCGAGUGACUGACGGGCCUUGAACGCUCCCAGGACCCACAUCUGGAGAGGGAGGUGGGGGUGGGGUGCUGAAGUCAUUCUUGGGGCCCCUGGGGGCGGGCAUGGACCUGGGUAAGGCCAGAGAAAUUGACACCUCGUGACAUCCCUGGAAGAGAAGUACGUUCAGUGUCACUCCAGAGCUGAAACCGCCUUCUGGCUGGUCCCUCCUCACCUACAUACUUUUCUAAUUUGUCUGGAGCAGGCCGGGCAUCUGUAUUAUCUGGUUAUUUAAAUAUCUGGUUAUUUAAAAGCUCUCCAUUAAAUUCACAUACACGAAAAUAAAAAUUAAAAAAAAUUUUAAAAAAAAGAAACAAAAGCUCUCUAAUGACCAAGUCCUACACGAUAGUGAAUAAAUUUUUUUAAAGGUGAAAACGUUUCUUUUAUAAUUUCACAUACAAUCUUUAAUGGACCCAGUGUCCAACACAUUAAAGCAAGUGCUCAGGAGUGACAUCAAGAUGUAAAAAAUAGUCCUGUCCUCAGGGAGUUUAGGUCUUGGAGAAAAGAGACCCAAGGAGACACAAGACAAAGGGGAAAGAGAAGGAGCGCUGAAGACUGAGGACCCUGCCUGUGGACUGAAGUGAGGAUGGGGACACCCGAUGCCCGGAAUAUGACAGUUUGGAGGGGCCUGAAGGACUCUUCUAUUCUCUAUCAGAAAAACAGAAUUACUCUCCUAACCAGAAAAGGUAUUUCAAUUUAUAUUUUCCAUCACAGCACUUUUCUGGUGAUAAUUUAAUGUGUUUUAAAAAAUGUAUCACAGUGAUGGCCUGGUGUGAAAUAAAUAAUAAAAUUUUAAGAAUUAAAAAAUAUAAAAAUCUUUUAUAUAGACAUUAGGAGUUACAAGGAUAACUGUGAAUUAUAAUUAGUAAUUAAAUUGAAAUACUGAUUAUUUUCAUUUUUAUUUAAUUAUUUAAUAAAACCUAUUUAACAUUUAAUAUUUAUCAGUAAUUAAAUCUAAUUGUUAAUAUUUAUUAUUAUAAAUUAUUUUAGAAUUAAAAAUAAGUGUAGAAGCGAGGCAUGGUGGCUCAAGCCUGUAAUCCCAACACUUUGGGAGGCUAAGGUGGGAGGAUUGCUUGAGCCCAGUAGUUCAAGACCAGCCUGGGCAACAUGGAGAAACCCUGUCUCAAUACAAAAAAAUGAGCCAUGUGUGGUGGUGCGUGCCUGUAGUCCCAGCCAUUCUGGAGGCUGAGGUGGGAGGAUGACUUGAGCCUAGGCAGUCAAGGCUGCAGUGAGCCCUGAUCUUGCCACUGCACUCCAGUCUGGGCAACAGAGCAAGACCCUGUGUCAAUAUACAUAUGGACAAACUUAAAAUUUAAAAUGAAAGCAUACUACUGAUACAGAAUUGAGUAGAGAUGCAAAGCUAGUCCUAUAACCAGAACAAUAAAGAUAAAAAGGAGAGUGGAAGAAGGUAUGUCAUGAAUUUCAUGAUAAAUGGCAAUUGCAAAUAUCCUGUAGCAGAACAAAACAACAAAACUGUAGAUAAAACAUAUCCAACCCUUUGGAAGGCCAAGGAGGGAGGAUUGUUUGAGCCCAGAAGUUGGAGACCAGCCUGGGCAACAUAGUGAGACCCUGUAUCUAAAAAGGAAGAAAGAAAAAAAAAAAAAGGAUGAUAAAGUAGACAAUAUUGAAAGCCAUUUUCUGCAAAUACAUAGUGAAUUUGAUCAGUAAUUUUCUUCCAACAGUGCAAAAAUGAAUAGAUAUUAGUUGCCUGAAAUAAAAAUCAAAUAUCCAACAAAAAAUAUUGACUAUCUAAUAGUAUCUAAGCUAGUAAAUUUGGCCAGUUAUAAAAUGUCUUAAAUUUUUAUUUAAAAAAAGAAAACCAUAUUUAUAAGAAGAGGUGAUAAAGAGAAAUUAUUUCAGUUAUGAAGAUUUUGUUAGAAAACUAUGAGAAAAAAACUAUUUUUUGUUUUCAAAAAGUGAAAGAUUAAGUUACCAAACAGUUGCUAAAGAAUACCAGAUGGCUGAGCGUGGUGACUUAUGCCUGUAAUCCCAGUACUUUGGAAGGCCAAGGCAGGAGGAUCAUUUUAGGCCUGGAGUUCGAGACCAGCCUGGGCACUGUAGCAAGACCCGUCUCUAUUAAAAAAAAAAAAAAAAAAAAAAAAGAAUACAAGACCUUGCUAACAAUAGCAAAGAUCAAUUAAUUCAAAAUUUGAAAAACUGUAAUUUAUUUAGCUUUAGAGUACUCUCGUGAUAUGAGAUUGCCAAAUUAAUACUUUGGGUGCAUUUCUUUUCUCAAAGGACUUGCAAAUUUACAAAGAAGUGUUGAAGAAAAGCCACACAUUGGCAGGUAAUGUUUGCAAAAGACAGAUCUGAUGAAGAACAAUAUUUUUAGAAUAUACAAAGAAUACUUAAAACUCAACAGUAAGAAAAUAACCUGAUUUAAAGCAGGCCAAUGACCUGAACAUCUGUUCACCAAAGAAGAUACACAGAUGCAAGUAUGCAUAUGAAAAGAUGCUUGACAUCAUGUCAUUAGGGAACUGCAAAUUAAAACAAGUAGAUACCACUGCAUACCUAGUAGAAUGACCAAAAUUUAGAACACUGUCAGCACCAAAGGUUGCAAAGAUAUGUAGCAAUAGUAACUUGUUCAUUACUGGUGAGAAUGCAAAAUGUGCAAUCACUUUGGAAGACAGUUUGGUGGUUUCUUACAAAAGUAACCAUACUUUUACCAUAAGAUUCACCAAUCACACUCCUUAGUAUUUAUCCAAAGGAAUUGAAAACUUAUCUCCACACAAAAACCUGCACAUAGAUGUUUAUAGCAGCUUUAUUCAUAAUUUAUCCAAAACUUGGAAACAAGAUGUCUUUCAGUAGGUAAGUGGAUAACUGUGGUACUUCUGAAUAAUGGAAUGUUAUUUAGAGUUAAAAAGAAAUGCAUUCACUUUGGGAGGCCGAAGUGGGUGGAUUGCUUGAGGCCAGGAGUUUGAGACCAGCCUGGUCAACAUGGGAAAACCCCAAUUAGCCGGGCAUAGUGGCGUGAGCCUGUAAUCCCAGCUACUCGGGAGGCUGAGAUAUGAGAAUCGUUUGAACCUGGGAGAUGGAGGUUGCAGUGAGCCAGUGCCACUGCACUUCAGCCUGGGCAACAGAGCAAGACUCCUCUGUCUCAAAAAAAAAAAAAAAAAGAAAGAAAAGAAAAAAGAAAAAGAAAAAGAAAAGAAACGAUCAAGCCAUGAAAACACAUGAAGGAAACUUAAAUGUAUGUUACUAAAAAGCCAACCUGAAAAGACUGCAUACUAUAUGACUCCAACUGAUGCAGGGCAAGCAAGCCAAAAAUUAGGGCUUAGCCCGGGAAGAAUUCAAGGGUGAAGUGGUGGUGUUAGCAACUUUUACUGAAGCAGCAGUGUACAACAGCAGAACAGGUACUGCUCCUUGCUGAGCAGGGCUAACCCAUAAGUAAUGUGCCCAGAGUAGCAGCUCAGGGGCAGUUCUGCAGUAAUAUACCUGCUUUUAGUUAAGUGCAUGUUAAGGGGGAUUAUGCAGAAAUUUCUAGAAAAAGAGUGGUAACUUCGGAGUAGGUACAGAGGAAAGAAGUCGAUAAUGUCCUGUUGUUGCCAUGGCAACGAAAAACUGACAUGGCGCUGGUGGGCGUGUCUUAUGGAGAGGUGCUUUAACCUCGUCCCUGUUUCGGCUAGUCUUCAAUCUGGUCCGGAGUAAAGUCCCUGCCUCCGGAGUUCACUCCUGCUUCCUGCUUCACAACUGUAUGACACUCUAGAAAAGACAGUAACUAUGGACACAGUCAAAAGAUUAGUUGAUAGAAAUUGGGUGACAGGAAGUGUUGAAAAGGCAGAACACAGGAUUUUUAGGGCAGUGAAACUUCUGUGAUACUAUAAUGGUGAAUACAUGACAUUAUACAUUUGUCAAAACCCAUAGAAAGCACAACACCAAGAAUAAACCCUAAUGUAAAUUACAGACUUUCGUUGAUAAUGACGUGUCAAUGUAAGUUCAAUUGUAAUAAAUGUACUACUGUGGUGCUGGAUGUCUAUGGUGGGGGGACAUUUUUGCUUCAAUAGUUACAGUUGAAGUAAAUGUUUGUGUUUCCCACAAUGCAUAUGUAGAAACUCUCACAUUCAAUGUGAUGGUCUUUGGAGGUGGGCUCUUUGGGUGAUAGUUAGGUUUAGUUGAGAUCCUAGCAGAUCGAGUCUUCAUGAUGGGCAUGAUGGGACUGGUCCCUUAUAAGAAAAGACCAGAAAGCUAGCUCUCUCUUUGCCAUGUGAAGACAUAGCAGGAAGGUAGCCAUCUGCAAGCUAGGAAAGGGCCUUCACAAAGAAUCAACUCAGACCUCAGAACAGUGAGAGAUAAAUUGUCGUUGUUUAAGUCACUCAGGCUGUGGUAUUUUGUUUCAGCAGCCCAACCUAAGACUGUUAAUUGGAUUAGAAAUUUCCUUUUGGGGAUGGUGUGUGGCGGGCGGGGGGCGGGGAGUACCUUUGUUAAGCUUUUAUAUCAAUGAGUUUGUAGGCUUUUCUUUUUUGGUCAUUGACUAGGACAGUUUAAAUAGUAUGAGUGUGAAGGAGAUUGUUGGUCAUCUAUUCGAUGUCCCUUCUCUGUUUUUUAAUAUGAGAACUCCUGAUUUUCAGCCAACUACCCUGGAAAAAAAGCUAAUCUUUCUGACUUCUUAAGUGUGGCCAUGUACUAAAUUCUGGCUAAUGCAAGGCAAGCCAAAGGUUUUAUGAUAGGUUUUAGGACACUAGAGUAAAAGAGAGCUGUUGCACACAUGCUCUUCACCCUACUUUUGUGUCCUUUUUUCCAUCCUACAACUUGGGUUGUGAGUAUGAUGGCUGGAACUUUAGUGGCUCUCUUGGAUCCCAGGGGUAAUUGAGGGGUGGCUGGAAGGAAUCUGUGAUUUUCUGGAGUUUCCAUACACAAACAAGACCUGGAUUUUCUGGGCUUCCCAGACUUCCACAUCUAGACUUGCUUUAAAUGGGAGAGAAAUAAACUUGUUUCAGCCACUGUCAUUUUGGGCUAUUUUAUAGAACUUAAUCUAAUCUUCAAGGGUACAUGAAUUGCUUUUCCUUAAAAAAAAAAUCAGCCAUAAAAUCAUCUUCUUUUUUCUUUUGUUCCCCACAUUAUUUAGUUGGAGCUCUGUAACUUUUUUUUUUUUUUUUUUUGAGACAAGGUCUUGCUCUGUCACUUAGGCUGGAAUUCAGUGGCAUGACCAUGGCUCACUGCAGCCUUGCCCUCCUAGGCUCAAGCAAUCCUCGUCUCAGCCUCCUGAGUAGCUGAAACUAAGGCACAUGCCACCAUGCCCAGCUAAUUUCUUUUCUUUUAGAGAUGGGAGCCUUGCCCAGGCUAGUCUCAAACUCCUAGCCUCAAGUGAUCCUCCCAUCUCAGCCUCCCAAAGUGACAGGAUUACAGGUGUGAGCCACCAUGCCUGGCUGCUCUGUAAGUGUCUGAAUUUCAUUUUGUAUUUAUCAGUCUGUUUAGAUUUUCUUUCCCUUCUUGGGUCAGUUAGGCCAUUGGUUUCUUUUUAAAGGUUUUCAAAUUUAUUUGCAUCUAAUUCUUCAAAUUACUCUCAAAAUUAUUCCAGUAUAUAUUCUUUUGUUCCUAUUUUCUUCUGUAUUCUUUAUUAAAAUAGCUAAUGAUUUAUCUAGCAGGACUUAUAUUCUUUCCAUAACUUUCCUGCACCCCAAUUAAUCUCCAAUUUUAUAUUUCUUCUGGCCUUCCUUAUAGUUUCCACAGGUUUAUUUUAUUCAUUUUUUAAAACUUUUAUUUAAUUGUUUAUUUUAUUAUCAUUCUUUCUUAUUCAGCAAUCUAAGUGCUUAGGGAUAUAGAAUUUCCUCUAAGCAGCAUAUGCUAGGCUUUAACAAUGUUAGGGAGGCCUCCCCUUUCUGGGGAAGACCACACUUACAUUAACACAGGACUGUGGGAUGCCAAGAGGUAGAGAAGAGCUUAUGAAUAUCCAGAUUACAUCUUCACUGAUCCUGCACAAAGGUGGGGUUCCUCGGUUACCCACUGGGUCCUAUUACCCAAGUCUGGGUCAGCAUACCGAGACUACGGGUAUAUAGAACAAGUGCAACUGGCGAUAAUCCUUCUGUUGGGGAGAAAAAUCUUUUUUUUCUAUUCAUCUUAGGUUCUCCAUCUGUGGCCCUAUCAAGUAGACUAACAAAAGACAGAUUGACAAGACAGAAACAAAGCAUGUGCAUUGUACAAACACAGGGGAGUACUGAGAUGAAUACUCAAAAGAGGAUUUAGAACUUGGGCUUAUAUAGCAUUUUAAGAAAAGAAUACAUUUUUUAAGUGACAAGGAAGACGAAAAGGACUUUGAGUUUCUAGUGCAGUAAAUUGUGGGAAGGCAACUUUUUCUUUCCCUUUUUUUUUUUUUUUUUUUAAAAAAAAAGACUUCUCUGGUGCUAUGUCCAGGCUGAUAAGAGUCUAAAGUCUCUGGUGACUAACUUUUGUUCUUCCCCGAGUAAGAAGACACCUUCACAAUUUCAUAUCCUGCUUUUAGGCAAAUAGGGAGAGGGCAGAGGUGUUUGUUUGUUUUUAAUCUAUUUUUUUUCUCAAUUGUCUUCAACUCAAAAUACUUCUUAUGCCAAAGAUGGCAUAUUCUGCUACCCUUCACUUACUACUUACAACCCAGCCUCUAU
RNAcentral lists this long non-coding RNA (7178 nucleotides) under Homo sapiens (human). Its description in RNAcentral is "non-protein coding lnc-HIST1H1A-3:2". The record is from RNAcentral. Lineage: Eukaryota; Metazoa; Chordata; Mammalia; Primates; Hominidae.